This 370-nucleotide ribosomal RNA is filed under the name uncultured organism. RNAcentral describes it as "partial 16S ribosomal RNA". It matches the Rfam family "Bacterial small subunit ribosomal RNA", at positions 528 to 896 of the family's 1533-position model. The record is from RNAcentral.
GGGGGGGCAAGCGUUGUUCGGAAUUACUGGGCGUAAAGGGCGCGCAGGCGGCCUGGCAAGUCCUACGUGAAAUCCCACAGCUUAACUGUGGAACUGCGUGGGAUACUGCCAGGCUUGAGUCCGGGAGAGGAGAGUGGAAUUCCCAGUGUAGCGGUGAAAUGCGUAGAUAUUGGGAGGAACACCGGUGGCGAAGGCGGCUCUCUGGACCGGUACUGACGCUGAGGCGCGAAAGCUAGGGGAGCAAACGGGGAUUAGAUACCCCGGUAGUCCUAGCCGUAAACUUUGAGCACUUGGUGUGGCGGGUAUCACCCCCUGCCGUGCCGAAGCUAACGCAUUAAGUGCUCCGCUGGGGAGUACGGUCGCAAGGCUG